UUUCAUGAUAAGAAUUUCAUGACUUUUGUAUUAAAGAAUUAAAUGGAUGAAAUAUGAAGUUUUAUUAAAAGAAAAAGGGGUGAAAAGAACAAAGUUUUGUCCAUCUUUGUUCAUCAUAGUUGAAAGUUAGAGAAGAGAAAGGAGAGGAGAAAGCUCUUGAGUAUUCGGUCAUUAGGAGGAGGAAAAUUGAAGGUAAGUUCUUGGUACCUUACUUCUAUUUUGAGGUUCAUGAGUUCUUCUUGAUUCUACCUUAACUCUUGAAGUAUAUUUUGAUUUUUAGUUGUGUUGUGAGCAUUUAGUCAUGAAUUAAAAUGAAGGAAAUGGUUGUUGUUUCAUGUUCUUUUGAUGAAAAAUGGAAGAUAGGUGAAGUUGAGCCAAACAAAUAAGCAUGCAUGUGCCUUAGAUGUUAAAGGGAAAAAUCAGCUAACAUGUUGUGCUUUAAAAUGAUGAAAUGGAGAUUAUACUUAAGUAAAAUCAUAGAUAUGUGAUGAUUGAUUGGUGAUAUACAUGUUUAAAUAACAUGCAUGCAAGGUAUGUGUGAAAGAGUGAUUUGGUAAUAAAUCUGCUUGGGACAACAGCAGUAAUGUGAAUUUGGAAAAUCACCAUAAAUUGUGGGAGAUGAAUUAGAAGCCGAAUAAAUUAUGUAAUUAAAGCUUAUUGAGUCUAAUUUCUAAUGAAAUAAACAAGAACAUAUUUUGAAUUCUGUACAAUAAGAAAUUUGAUUCGUAAUAAAGAGUGGUCAGAUUAGUCAAACAGUGAAACAUGGGAAACUUUGAGAAAAAUCUGGUAUUGAUUGGCUAAACCACAAAUUCUAAAAAUUUUAUGGAUAGAAGAUAUAUGAGUUUAUUUUCAAGGAAAAUUAACAGAACUUGAUUUGGAGUUUCGUAGCUCCAGUUAUAAAUGAUUUAGUGACUGUUGCUCAGGAAGACAGCUUGCAGUGAAAUUAUGAUUAUGUGGUAAACAUUGACAAAAAUUUGUUAAUGAGUUACUUAUUGUUUUCUUAUAAGCUUACUAUGAUCUGUAGGUGUGGUUGGCCGAAUAUUGUAAGGGGUUAAUACGUAGUUUGUAUUUGAAUAGUUAGAUUAACGUGUUAGUAAUCCAAUUGUAGGCUGUUCGUGUGUGGAUCUCAUCAGCAUAUCGUCGCAAACAAGUGUGUAACUGACACCCUCUCAUAGACUAGAUUGGCAAAAGCCGAAAAGCCAAAAUGCCGAAAAGUCAGUAUUUUGGGAAUUUGCGAGUGUGCGAAUGCUUGUAAGAUAGUUGGGUUUGUAUAUUUGGUAAUCUAAAGUAAUAAACUGCAGUACGCGCGAUUUCGUACAUUUUGAUAAUUUGGGCUUAAUGGGCCAAAGAUCGGGUUCAUGGGCCAACGGGCCCAAUUCGGUAAGUAUGCGCGGUAAGUGUUCUGAUAGUACGUAAAUAGUUAGAAUAUGCAUGAAAACCCUAAAAGUAGCUAAAUUACUAUAAUACCCCUAUGUAUGGAAAAUUACUGUCAUGCCCCUAGGUGUAAAAUUACCGUUAUACCCCUAGGGUUAAUUUUGACUGAAAAGCAUGACGAUCUGAUUCUGUAUGAUGUAUGCCAUGAUUAUAUAUCUGUUGCAUGGGGACAUGGGUUAUAUUAUGGAGGAAGCGUUCUGGUGGCUAUGCCACAAAUAUCUGAUCUGGUGGCUCUGCCACAAAUGUCUGUUCUGGUAGCUCUGCCACGAUUAUCUGUAUCUGGUGACUCUGUCACAUUAUCUGUUCUGGCAUCCAUGCUGCAAAUUCUGUGGUGUGUAGCGGUUGGGUGGGUCGAGUUGUCUCCCCACACGGUGUAAGGUUGGUACGGGGUUGUAUACGGUUGGAUAUGGUUGGGUUUCUGCAUAAACAUGUAAUAUCUGUUCUGUUCUGUUAUGGGCCUAUGGGCUUUAUUCUGAAUUCUGUUCUGGGCUAAGGCCAACUUAUUCUAUUUCUGUGGGUUGAGCUGAUUUAGACUAUGGUUGGGUUAUUUUACACACUGAGUUUUCCACAAACUCACCCCUUUUAUUUUCAUCCACGCAGGUAAUCCCCAACCAUAGUGGGCUUGGAGCUGUGAGGGAAUUCGGAGUGGCCACCCGUUCUGAAAGUUUGAUUUUCUUCUGGUGAACUGGACAUCCUUUUAUUUACAUUUGAAGUUUUGGGUUUUUAAACGUAAUAAGGCCGCUUAAUUAUUUUUGAUGGUUUUAAUAUGUAUUACUAAGAUAGGUAUUACUUAUUUUAACUGUUGAAAUUGGAUAGCUUUAGGGCGUGUUUUCAAAAACAAUUGAUUUCAAAAUAACACGGCAACAAGCAAAGCUUCCGUAAUGAAAGUAUUUUCCAAAAUUAAUCACUUUUCCUAAAAAUGACUUAAUCAAAUCGGUUUCCUAGAAAUAUCCAUGACGUUAAGGUGUGGCAAUGGCGGUAUGCAUGUCUAGGAUUGGAUCCGAAGGGAGCUUGGUACUUAAGCAGUCCGAUGGACUCACCACCUCUUUUCCGGUUUCCUAUCUGGUGCACAGCUUCCAUUCACUUUAACCCUUAAUGAAUUAAUCUUUUGAACAUCAAGUACGAUUUUCUGGACUUAGAAUGGAAAAAAAAAAAUUUAACGUUUUUGAUGUGGCAUGCCAGAUCCAGCCAUAACUUCUGGACCGAGUUUGGGGUGCUACAAUGCUCACACGGUCUGGCCAUAUAGCCGUGUGACCUCUGCAGUAUUGAAAAUUUUAAAUAUUUUUGAAAACUUUUCUGAGUUUUCAACUUAGUCCCUAUUCGUUUCUAAUGCGUAAUUUGGGCCUUGAGGGCUCGUUUAAGAGACAAUAUGUAUAAUUUUUAUUGGUUUCUAAUAUGAAUGCUAGAUGAAAUGAAAUGUCAGAUAAUUAAUUUUGUAAACUCCGGUAAUGCUUUGUAACCCUAUUCUGGCGACGAAUUCAGGUUAAGGGUGUUACAUUGUGAGCCAGAAAAAAAUGAUAAUGAGAAUUCUUUCAUUGAAUCUAUAAAGUUAGAUGAAAUAGAAAUGUCAUCAUGUUCUCCUACUGAGAUAUAUUGUACUGAAUUGAAUAUUCAUAAUACUUGUGAGGGGGAUAUGGGAAGUAAGGAAAAAUUAUGUGAAAAGACAGAGAGAAAAGAGACCUUUAGUGAUAAAAGUCUACUUAAUGGUCCAAAUUUGGUGAGUGAAAAUCUAUAUGAGGUAAAAUUGGAGAGUUCUUAAGUGGAAAAAGAAAGAGAAAAGUAAGAAAAUACCCAUACAAAAGUGAGGAAUGAUUACGUUUUAACUAACUCUAACUUAAAUUUGUUUAGUGGUGUUUCUUUGUUACAGGUUUUCAAGGAUCCAUUGAUGGACUCUCAAUUAUAUUACUUUACCAUCGAUAGACAAUUUUACUUAUGGGAAAGAGGUAAGUUGAACAUUGAUAAUUCUCCACAGGUACUAGAAGGUAAGAAAAAUAAUUAUACAUUGGAAAUUGAAAUAUGCAGGCAUGCCUUGAAUGUUUUUAAUAACUAUGCCACUAAUUUUCUUUUUCCUUACGACAUGCUUUCUCAUGGGUAAAGUUUCAAUAAACAAUGGUCUGAAAGUUCAAUUGAUUUUAUGGGUUUAUCUAGGUAUUUAAAGUUUACUUUUGUUGCAUUCGACAUGAUUAUUGUAACAGCCCAGUUUUAGCUAAAUCGGAACAGUGGUUUUAGAACCACAAAUCUGAGGUUGGAAAAUUAUUUUAAUAUUAUUUUUGGUGUUUACAGCAUGUGAUUAUAUAUGUGUGAAAGUUUCGUGAAAUAAUUUUAUCGUUUGGAUGCUUAAUUUGAGAAAAGAACUAAAUUGCGUAAAAUGCAAAAUUUUCAUUUUAUUUGAUAAAGGUGUCUAAUUGCUAUGGCUGAUUAAAUGUGAGGUCCUUAUGAUGUUAUUAUGUCAUUUAUAAGGUUAGUGGAAAUUUAUGGACAUGCAUUAUAAAUUUCUAAGUUUCUUUAUUAAGGGUAAAUAGGUAAAUGACAAAUUAAGUUUAUUUAUCAAACAUGAUUUUUGUUCAUCUUUUAUGCCUUAGCCAAAUUUUAAAGGUGAAAAACACCAUUUUAUGCUCACCUAGGGUUUUUCCUUUGAAUCUUUGAUUAAGGUAUGUCUUUUGCUUGAUUUUUGAUGAUUUCUACGUUUUUGUGAUCGUUGCUUUAAGUACUAGCUAGCCCGUGCCUUAAUUUUUGAAUUUUUUGAUGAUUUUAUGAAGUUCCAUUGUUGAAUCUAUGUGCUUUGUGAUGGUUUAUGAUGAAAAAUGAUAGAUUAAUAUGUUUUGUUAAGUGAUUUUUAGAGAAAAUACAAAUUAGGGAUAUAUUUGUGAAAAGAUAAAAAUGUGGGUUAAAAGUGUGAAUGAAUGAAAUUUUUGGGCUACUAUGGACUCAAGUAUAAAUCAUCUAAGCAUGGGUUAAAUUGAAUUGCAUUAAUUUUGUGUAAUUGUGAAACAAUGACUAAAUUGAAUAAAUGUGAAACUUUAGGGGCUAAAGUGUACAAAUUCCAAAAUAGGUAUUUUUGGACUAAAUUGAAUGAGUUGGUGAUUAGAUGGAUUAAUUUUGAAUGUAUAUAGAUCAAGAACGAAAUAAAUCAGAUUUAGAUCGGGGAAAAUCGAAAGUUGUUGAAUAGUCAAUCAAGUCCGUUUAUUCCGAAUACAAGGUAAGUUCAUAGGCAAAUAAAUGCCUUUAAAUUGAUUUAUAAAUGUUUAUUUGUCAUUGAAUUGCUAUGAAUGUUGAACGAGAAAUAUGAGCAAGAAUCGAUGAAGUUAUGAUAUAUGAAAUUCUCGUACGAACCUUAGGAAUAGUAUAGGAUACUAAUGUCAUGACAUUAGGAUUACCGAGAUGUGAUUACAUGUAAGACCAUGUCUGGGACAUUGGCAUCGUUAUAUGAUUUCGUGUAAGACUCUAUCUGGGGCAAUGGCAUCGAUAUGUGGUAACAUGUAAGACCAUAUCUAGGAUAUGGCAUUGUACGAGCUAUUGUGAUUUUCGAGUAUCCUUAACGAUUCUGAAUGGUUUAAUGGGAAAAUUCAAGUCAAUAAAGAAUGUGUGAAUGAGUUAAGUGGCUCAGGUACAUACGAGAUUCAUACAAGUAUUGAAAUGGGAAGUAUUUGAUGAAUUCAAUUAUGGUAUUGAAUAUGUGUACAAUGAGAGAGGUUUGUGAACUUGUGUAACAUCCCAAACCCGGCCCAGACGUUAUGACCGGAUCCGACAUGCCACAUCGAAGCGUUCAAAACAUUUUAUAUUGUUGAUCCAGAAAAACUUACUUAGUGUUUUAAAAGAUAAUUUCAUUAUAGGUUAAAGUGAAUGGAAGCUGUGCACCAGGUAGGAAACCGGAAAAGAGGUGGUGAGUCCAUCAGACUGCUUA
This 5338-nucleotide long non-coding RNA is filed under the name Gossypium barbadense (sea-island cotton). Its description in RNAcentral is "long non-coding RNA (GBAR_LNC009504)". Lineage: Eukaryota; Viridiplantae; Streptophyta; Magnoliopsida; Malvales; Malvaceae. The record is from RNAcentral.